GUGAGGAAUAUUGGACAAUGGGCGCAAGCCUGAUCCAGCCAUGCCGCGUGCAGGAAGACGCAUCUAUGGUGUGUAAACUGCUUUUGUACGGGAAGAAACACUCCCUCGUGAGGGAGCUUGACGGUACCGUAAGAAUAAGGAUCGGCUAACUCCGUGCCAGCAGCCGAGGUAAUACGGAGGACCCAAGCGUUAUCCGGAAUCAUUGGGUUUAAAGGGUCCGUAGGCGGUUUAAUAAGUCAGUGGUGAAAGCCCAUCGCUCAACGAUGGAACGGCCAUUGAUACUGUUAGACUUGAAUUACAAGGAAGUAACUAGAAUAUGUAGUGUAGCGGUGAAAUGCUUAGAUAUUACAUGGAAUACCAAUUGCGAAGGCAGGUUACUACUUGUGGAUUGACGCUGAUGGACGAAAGCGUGGGGAGCGAACAGGAUUAGAUACCCCGGUAGUCC
RNAcentral lists this ribosomal RNA (445 nucleotides) under uncultured bacterium. Its description in RNAcentral is "partial 16S ribosomal RNA". It matches the Rfam family "Bacterial small subunit ribosomal RNA", at positions 354 to 796 of the family's 1533-position model. The record is from RNAcentral.